This 25-nucleotide unclassified non-coding RNA is filed under the name Mus musculus (house mouse). RNAcentral's name for it is "oocyte_clustered_small_RNA6958". The record is from RNAcentral. Lineage: Eukaryota; Metazoa; Chordata; Mammalia; Rodentia; Muridae.
UAGUGGCACGCAUCUUUAGUCCCAG